Molecule: long non-coding RNA, 3223 nt
Filed under: Cricetulus griseus (Chinese hamster)
Lineage: Eukaryota; Metazoa; Chordata; Mammalia; Rodentia; Cricetidae
Description: lncRNA (ENSCGRG00000024696.1)
Source: RNAcentral
UAUCAGAUAUAGAAGGUGGUGAUGGACUGCAGCUCAGAAAGGAACAUACUCUCAAAAUAUUUGCUUAUAUCAAUUCCUGGACUCAGAGGCAAUGUCUGUGCUGCUUCAAGGAAUAUAAGCAUUUGGAGAUUUUUAACCAAGUAGUGUGUGCACUUAUUAACUUAGUGAUUGCCCAAGUUCAAGUGCUCCGGGACCAGCUUUGUAAACAUUGUACUACCGUUAACAUAGAUUCCACGUGGCAAGAUGAGAGUAAUCAAGCAGAAGAACCACUGAGUAUAGAUAGAGAAUGUAAUGAAGGAAAUGCAGAAAGACAAAAAUCAAUAGAAAAAAAAUCAAACUCUACAAGAAUUUGUAAUCUGUCUGAGGAAGAAUCUUCAAAGAGUUCUGAUCCUUUUAGUUUAUGGAGUACAGAUGAGAAGGAAAAACUAUUACUGUGUGUAGCAAAAAUUUUUCAAAUUCAGUUUCCCUUAUAUACUGCUUACAAGCAUAAUACUCAUCCUACUAUAGAGGAUAUAUCGACGCAAGAAAGUAACAUAUUAGGGGCAUUCUGUGAUAUGAAUGAUGUAGAAGUACCCUUGCAUUUGCUUCGUUAUGUCUGUCUGUUUUGUGGGAAAAAUGGCCUUUCUCUUAUGAAAGAUUGUUUUGAAUAUGGAACUCCUGAAACUUUGCCGUUUCUUAUAGCACAUGCAUUUAUUACAGUUGUUUCUAAUAUUAGGAUAUGGCUACAUAUCCCUGCUGUCAUGCAGCAUAUUAUACCUUUUAGAACGUAUGUUAUCAGGUAUUUAUGCAAGCUCUCUGAUCAGGAGUUACGACAGAGUGCAGCUCGUAACAUGGCUGACUUAAUGUGGAGUACAGUGAAAGAGCCAUUGGAUACAACACUAUGCUUUGAUAAAGAAAGCCUGGAUCUUGCUUUUAAGUACUUUAUGUCACCAACUUUGACCAUGAGGUUGGCUGGAUUGAGUCAGAUAACAAAUCAGCUUCAUACUUUCAAUGAUGUGUGCAAUAACGAAUCAUUGGUAUCAGACACAGAAACGUCCAUUGCAAAGGAACUUGCUGACUGGCUUAUUAGCAACAAUGUAGUGGAGCAUAUAUUUGGACCAAAUUUACAUAUUGAGAUUAUUAAGCAGUGCCAAGUGAUUUUGAAUUUCUUGGCAGCAGAAGGACGAUUGAGUACUCAGCAUAUUGACUGCAUUUGGGCUGCAGCACAGCUGAAGCACUGUAGUCGAUAUAUUCAUGACUUAUUUCCCUCACUCAUCAAGAAUCUGGAUCCUGUACCACUUAGACAUUUACUUAAUCUGGUCUCAGCUCUUGAGCCAAGUGUUCAUACUGAACAGACACUUUACUUGGCAUCCAUGUUAAUUAAAGCUUUGUGGAAUAAUGCACUUGCAGCUAAGGCCCAACUAUCUAAACAGAGUUCGUUUGCAUCUUUAUUAAACACUAAUGUGCCCAUUGGAAAUAAAAAAGAAGAAGAAGAGCUGAGAAGAGCAGCUCCUUCACCUUGGUCUCCUGCAGCAAGUCCUCAAAGUAGUGACAACAGUGAUACACAUCAGAGUGGAGCCAGUGACAUUGAAAUGGAUGAGCAGCUUAUUAAUAGAACCAAACAUGUGCAGCAGCGACUCUCUGACACAGAGGAAUCCAUGCAAGGAAGUUCUGAUGAAACUGCUAACAGUGGUGAAGAUGGAAGCAGUGGUCCUGGUAGCAGUAGUGGGCACAGUGAUGGAUCUAGCAAUGAAGUCAAUUCAAGCCAUGCAAGCCAGUCAGCUGGCAGCCCUGGAAGUGAGGUGCAAUCAGAAGACAUUGCAGACAUUGAAGCCCUUAAAGAAGAAGAUGAUGAUGAUGAUCAUGGUCACAAUCCUCCCAAAAAUAGUUGUGGUACAGAACUUCGAAAUAGAAAGUUAGAAAAUCAAGCGGGCAUUUGCUUGGGGGAAUCCCAAGGCACAUCUGAAAGAAAUGGGACAAGCAGUGGAACAGGAAAGGACCUGGUUUUUAAUACUGAGUCAUUGCCAUCUGUAGAUAAUCGAAUACGAAUGCUAGAUGCCUGUGCUCACCCUGAAGACCCAGAGCAUGAUAUUUCAGCGGAAAUGAGUUCUGCUCACAUAGCACAAGGUUCUCAGGAGUCUUGUAUCACACGAAGCGGGGACUUCCUUGGGGAGACUAUUGGGAAUGAAUUGUUUAAUUGUCGGCAGUUUAUUGGUCCACAGCACCACCACCACCACCACCACCACCACCACCAUCACCACCACCACCACCACCACCACCACCACCAUCAUGAUGGACAUAUGGUUGAUGAUAUGCUAAGUGCAGAUGAUGUCAGUUGCAGUAGCUCGCAGGUCAGUGCAAAAUCAGAAAAAAAUAUGGCUGAUUUUGAUGGUGAAGAGUCUGGAUGUGAAGAGGAACUAGUUCAGAUAAAUUCACAUGCAGAACUAACAUCUCAUCUCCAACAACAUCUUCCCAAUUUAGCAUCUAUUUAUCAUGAACAUCUUAGUCAAGGACCCGCAGUCCAUAAGCAUCAGUUCAACAGUAAUGCUGUGACAGACAUUAAUUUGGAUAAUGUCUGCAAGAAAGGAAACACUUUAUUAUGGGAUAUAGUGCAAGAUGAUGAUGCAGUUAAUCUUUCUGAAGGAUUAAUAAAUGAGGCAGAGAAACUUCUUUGUUCCUUGGUUUGUUGGUUUACAGAUAGGCAGAUUCGAAUGAGAUUCAUUGAAGGCUGCCUUGAGAAUUUAGGAAACAACAGAUCAGUAGUGAUUUCUCUUCGUCUUCUUCCAAAACUGUUUGGUACUUUUCAGCAGUUUGGUAGCAGUUAUGAUACACAUUGGAUUACAAUGUGGGCAGAAAAAGAACUGAACAUGAUGAAGCUUUUCUUUGACAAUCUGGUGUAUUACAUUCAAGGUAUAAGAGAAGGAAGACAAAAGCAUGCGUUGUACAGCCAUAGUGCCGAAGUUCAAGUUCGACUUCAGUUCCUAACUUGUGUGUUUUCAACUCUGGGAUCACCUGAUCAUUUCAGGCUAAGUUUAGAGCAAGUCGACAUUUUAUGGCAUUGUUUAGUAGAAGAUUCUGAGUGCUAUGAUGAUGCACUUCAUUGGUUUUUAAAUCAAGUUCGAAGUAAAGAUCAACAUGCAAUGGGAAUGGAAACCUAUAAACAUCUUUUCCUGGAGAAGGUAAUUGUAUAUCUUAGAAGUUUAUUUGUAUAAUUUCCUAUAUGUAUUUUAGUGUCUUGAAGUAU